RNAcentral lists this ribosomal RNA (494 nucleotides) under uncultured bacterium. RNAcentral's name for it is "bacterial SSU rRNA". It matches the Rfam family "Bacterial small subunit ribosomal RNA", at positions 24 to 518 of the family's 1533-position model. The record is from RNAcentral.
UCAGGAUGAACGCUGGCGGCGUGCUUAACACAUGCAAGUCGAACGAGGGUUACUGGUUGAAGUUUCGGAUGGAAACCGGUAAUUCCUAGUGGCGGACGGGUGAGUAACGCGUGGGGAACCUGCCCCGCUCCGGGGGAUACCAGCUGGAAACGGCUGUUAAUACCGCAUAAGCGCACAGUAUCGCAUGAUGCAGUGUGAAAAACUCCGGUGGAACGGGAUGGCCCCGCGUCUGAUUAGCCAGUUGGCAGGGUAACGGCCUACCAAAGCGACGAUCAGUAGCCGGCCUGAGAGGGCGACCGGCCACAUUGGGACUGAGACACGGCCCAAACUCCUACGGGAGGCAGCAGUGGGGAAUAUUGCACAAUGGGGGAAACCCUGAUGCAGCCGACGCCGCGUGAGUGAGGAAGUAUUUCGGUAUGUAAAGCUCUAUCAGCAGGGAAGAAGAUGACGGUACCUGCACAAGAAGCCCCGGCUAACUACGUGCCAGCAGCGGC